Molecule: ribosomal RNA, 292 nt
Filed under: uncultured bacterium
Lineage: Bacteria
Description: partial 16S ribosomal RNA
Rfam family: Bacterial small subunit ribosomal RNA
Source: RNAcentral
GUGCCAGCAGCCGCGGUAAGACGUAGGGCGCGAGCGUUGUCCGGAUUUAUUGGGCGUAAAGAGCUCGUAGGCGGCUUGUCGCGUCGACCGUGAAAACUCGCAGCUCAACUGCGAGCCUGCGGUCGAUACGGGCAGGCUAGAGUUCGGUAGGGGAGACUGGAAUUCCUGGUGUAGCGGUGAAAUGCGCAGAUAUCAGGAGGAACACCGAUGGCGAAGGCAGGUCUCUGGGCCGAUACUGACACUGAGGAGCGAAAGCGUGGGGAGCGAACAGGAUUAGAUACCCUGGUAGUCC